This is a long non-coding RNA of Scylla paramamosain (green mud crab), 884 nucleotides long. RefSeq lists it as uncharacterized. The record is from RefSeq and is a predicted model, not a curated record. NCBI's taxonomy places the organism in Eukaryota, Metazoa, Arthropoda, Malacostraca, Decapoda, Portunidae. The transcript is spliced from 3 exons.
UGCUGCUCGUUGGCAGAGGAGAGGAGAGGAGGCGAGUUGUGUGAAGACGUCAUGCAAGGAGAUACAGUGCUUGAAGGGCGUUCGUGCGCUGCUGCCUUAUUUAACCUGGAUUUUCGCUUAACAAGAUGGUGAUGGGGGUCACGGCUGCUUCUAUGUGCUGGUGCAGGAUUGGCAUUGGCGGGGAGGUGCCUGGGAGGGCCAGGAAGGCUGAAAGUACAGGUUUCCAUAAUUCGUGAGGACUUCAGUGAUCUUGUGUCCCCCCCAGAAGGCUUAGUGUCUGGAGGCCACACACACAGCACUCUGCUAAGCCAACCCAGGUUCACAGUGGCAAGGCAACGAUGGGAACAGAGGAGCAGGUGAAGGGGCAACGACUAGAGCCACGGGUGGAGGCAGUGGAGACAGGCUUGGGGGAGGUGCAGACAUCCUCCAUGCAGCUCCUGGCCAUGCUGGAAGCCCUGGAGGCCCGUGUGGAGAAGGACGUGCGUGAGGUGCGGCAGGAGGUGGCAAAGCUGGAGUACAAGAUGACUGCUGCACAGGACGACAGCAAGACUUAGCAAAGCUGUGGAAGCUAGCAGUUUUCAUGUACCAAAGUCAUCAUCAUUGUCAUUUUGUUUGUCCUUAUGUUCCCUUAUGCAUUUAAACAGUUUAUAAGACUCUCCCAAUUUUUGCAGUGAUAGACAAUCUAUUUACUAGUUAUUUAUUCUUCCCUUGUCUUCCUCUACACAUCAUCUCCAGUGAUAAAUGGCCUCUUCCUUGAUGUUCAGCCUUCACAUAUCUUCCUUUGCACACUAUCUCCAGUUAUCUUUAGUCAUCCGUAUAUCCAUGUGUACAGUAGGUGGUUGCCACAUGUUGGCCUAAUGGCUUCUUGCAGCUUCCCUUAUUUU